Molecule: ribosomal RNA, 327 nt
Filed under: uncultured bacterium
Lineage: Bacteria
Description: bacterial SSU rRNA
Rfam family: Bacterial small subunit ribosomal RNA
Source: RNAcentral
AGGGUUUGAUCAUGGCUCAGGAUGAACGCUGGCGGCGUGCUUAAUACAUGCAAGUCGAACGGACAAAAGAAGCUUGCUUCUUUUGUUAGUGGCGGACGGGUGAGUAACACGUGAGCAACCUGCCCAUAUCAGGGGAAUAACACAGUGAAAAUUGUGCUAAUACCGCAUAAGACCACAGGGAGGCAUCUCCCAGGGGUAAAAGAUUUAUCGGAUAUGGAUGGGCUCGCGUCCCAUUAGAUAGUUGGUGAGGCAACGGCUCACCAAGUCGACGAUGGGUAGCCGACCUCAGAGGGUGAUCGGCCACAUUGGAACUGAGAAACGGUCCAG